GGGUAUAACUCAGUUGGUAGAAUGCUUGUUUUCCAUGCACAAGGCCCUGGGUUCAAUCCCCAGCACCACA
RNAcentral lists this transfer RNA (70 nucleotides) under Marmota monax (woodchuck). Its description in RNAcentral is "tRNA.Gly". The record is from RNAcentral. Lineage: Eukaryota; Metazoa; Chordata; Mammalia; Rodentia; Sciuridae.